AGAAAAUCCUGAAAUUGAACAGAAGAAAAUUUAGGCUGACUGGUAGGAAACAUUUCCUCAUAUGGUGUAGAGUUACCUCUGGAGAGAAACAGUGAAAGCCUCAUGGCUUGAAUGGUUUCAAAGAACAGAAAGGAGAAAGGUUUGGGGAAUGAAUUUCCAUUGGCAUGGGACAAACUAUGUAACCAAAGAGGUAUUUUCCAGCUCCCCACUUGUGACUGACUCCGUGUUCAAUGCCAAAUUCAUGUGUUAGUUAUCAGGAUUAAACACAAUGCCUACAAAAUUGGGCUUAACUACAAGGCCAUUUGAAAAAAGAGGAAAAAUGCUCUAAUACUGAAACUCAUUGGAAACUCUGAGGAGAUGGCUGCCAGAUUUGGAAACUCCACCUAAGCUCGCACACCUGUUUUCCAGGCGUCUCCAGGACAAACUGCUAAUGGCAGGGCCCUAAUUGCCCUAAGUAGCCACACCUGGGGCCUCCUUGCACCUGUCCAUGAGCCCAAGAACACUAUUUAAGCCCAGGGCAGGGUAAUUUGCUCAUUUCUUAAGUAGCGUCUCUGCAGUGCUGUUCUCCAGCUCCACUCUGGCUGUACAGACAUCCUGGCUCAGCCCGUGCCUCCCUGCAGAGGUGCUGUGGCUGCCCAUUCUGGUUCCAGAGACUCCUUGCUGCUGCUGCUGCCUAUAUGUAGGCACUUUUUCUACGUGCUGAGCACAGCCCAGACUUCAUUAAAUUGUUUUCGUAGCAAGAUGAGAAAAAGGACCUUUCAGAUGGAUCUUAUAGAGCUCCUGCUGCCAGAUAGUUCUGAACUUUCAUGCGGCCUUGGUCCCGAAGUACUGUUGACUUCAGUAAAGGUAAGACUAGAAGGCAUUGUAGCCUUUUCUCAUAAGAAGGAAUUGCACACACCCUGUCCUUUAACACUUGCCACAGAGUACUACAACAGCAAGACAAGGUAAAAUCAACAGAAAUAGUAGAAUCUUUAUGAAUAUUUAGUGGGUCUUGCAACAACUUAUGAAGACUGUAGUCCUUGUUUGAGCUGAUUUUUCCGUUUAUGUGGAGAAAUGAGCUGGCAGAAUGUGCCUUGCUCUUAAGCUUAUUCACUUUUUAGCCUUGCACCAGAGGAAAACCUAACUCUAGAUAGUACAUACUGUAUGUUGGUGAGGCAGAUCUAUUAAGUUGCCGUGUGCAAAACAUAAUUUAUUUCUGACAUAAGAAUAUACCUCUUAUAAAUUUGUCACAUGCUCAUAUGUUGUAAGGGGUUUCUGUGCCAAGUUCUGUGUACGUGGUUCUUAAGAUUUCCCUUAAGGUGUUAAGAGAACAUGGAGCUUCUGGACAAGAGAGGUUUUAAAAGGCACUGGCCUUUUCCCCACUGCAGUGUUUGACUUCUCUGCCAUCCUUGCAAUAUUUAUUCUAUUUAAGAACAGUCAGAAAUGCUACUAAUUCAGCAGAGAAGUUAAUCAGUGCAGACUGUAAAUGUUUAUUUGUUUUUUAAUAGCAGAAAUUAUGUUAUAAAUGACUCUCAUCUAUUGUAAAAACCUGCUAUUAGUUUGUAACCUAGCUUUUUAUUGCAAUACCUGUUGGUGUUGCAAAAGUGAAACAUGAAUUUGGUAUUAACUCUGGAAUAACCAACCAAUCACAAAAUGUAUAACCAUGCUGCAUUUAAAAAUUUGACUUCAACACAAAAAAGAUUAUUACAUGCAUAUUGACAGAUACCAAAUGAAUUGACUCUUUCAGAAAACUGCUUUUAUCAGCUUCUCAAAUCUAAAUUAGUAUGAAUUCAUACUUAUGAUAAACAUUACAUCUAAGCUCUAAGCAUAUUAUGAUAAUUGGUUAAAGUUCUCAGUUUUUCAAAUAAGUGUAAAAAAAAAAAAAAGGUGUGCAUUAUCUUUUUAUUGAAUGCAACUUCACAGAUGCUUCUGAAAUUUGAUAGCAAAAUUAUUUUUUGAGAAAGUUGUAGGCUUUUUAUAAUAUUUUCUUGGUAGCAAUGACUGUUUUUAUAAUGCUGUAAAUGUACCUAGUAGUGUUCCAAACUGAGCAUUUGUCAGUAUUUGGAAGUGAACUAAGAUAACAUUUGUUUCAAUUCGCCGUUCACUUUCUGCUGUUCUGUGUGUGGGCAUUCAUAUUUCAGAUUAUGUAUCCAAAUUAGCAAGAUUUUUUGAAGUAUAUUUUGUAGGUCACUUCUACCUAGAUAUGAAGCAGAUGUUUAUACUGUGGUAGCACUGUCUCAGAAUGAUGAGCUGCUCCAUAGUUGUGCUUCAUGCAGGAAACACAUUCUGUGCUGUAAUGACUCCCAGCAUCAUAAACAAGGAAAGCUAAACAAAUUCAGGUCUGAGAUGGGGUGUAACAGAGAGGAAUUACCAAAACACAAUUUCUGCUGAGAAUGAGAUGGUCUGCUUAGAGAACUUUGUUUUAGAGAAAAAUUAGGAGAAUGAGAAAUAACAGGAUUAGCUUAUUGGAGAGAAAAACUACAUUAGGUGUGGAGGACAAAGUAUCUUAAAAAUGACAAAAAUAGAGACGGUACGCAGAGAGCUAUGUUGGGGAAACUGUAUGUGUUGCGGGCAGAAAUAAAACUGUUACACGUAAUUAAGUUUACUCCAGAGAACUGAGAAAUUGCCUUCACGUUUUCCCUUAUUUUGAAAUGUUUUGCUCUUGCAUAUUGAGAGAAAUCUUCACUUUAAUACCUUAAUCAGUACUGUCUUUUUUUUCUGCAACUACUGUGUUCUUCAUACUUAUUCCAGUCUGGACUGCUGGUCAGACACUAUUGAGCCACUUACAUUGAUUGAAGUUUUUCCAAUUCUGCAACAUCAUCUCUAAUGCAAUGAAUGAAUCUAAUGACCUAAUCAUCUUUUUUUGUGUGUGCAAUAUUUGUGUCUUUUGAGAAGUUUGGAAGGUUAUCCAGCUGUUGAUGCAUUGGAUUCUGUGUUGGCAGUAUCUUCAUGAUAACGAAUAUGAAAGGUGUUGAAAUUUUUUUGAACUAAGAUGAGUGCACUGUGUGUGCUCAGAUACAUAGUUGGAGACACUGAGAUGUCACCAUAGAGAGAAUAUUACUUUUACAUCAAGAUCUCAACUUCUGGGAAGUCUAGCGUUUGUAUGAAAAUCAAGCCACACUUUUUUUCAGAAUAUUCUCCAUAUUAAGCAUGUGUUUUCUGAGGAUUUUCAAGUAAAUAUAUUCAUGAGUAAGUAUGUAUAAAUGAGAUUAUUUGUGGACUUUAAUUAUGACAUGCAUGUACAGUGCUUAUCACUUUAGCUUCUGAAAAUGUUCCCAUUUCAAGGGGCAAUUCCUUGUUGUUGGUUGUUGUUUUUUGUUUUUAAUUAGCCAUUGCCUGCUUUGUACUUUUUGUAAGGAUAUUUUAGCUGAUUCCAGUAGUGUCAUUAGGUCUGAUAUUCAGAGAAGCCAUCUGGACUCAUCACUGACCUGCUAGGAGUAUAAACUUAAGUAAAAUACUGCAUAAAGCUGUGAGUUAUUGUAUAGAUGAAAAUCUCACAAAGGCAACAUUAGUCUAUAUCGGCAUGAAUGUGAAACAGAUAAGAUGGUUGUACGUCAUUAACUGCAUGCUUUUUUCCUUGCUUGUUUUUUCCUUCUCUUUUCCUCCUACUAAAACACAAUUUAUUAGAAACUCAUCUAGUCCAACAGUAGCUCAACACGAUUAUCUGCUAGCUUCAGAUGGCACAUUUGGUCUUCUGGUACAUCUCAGUUGUUGCUUUUGUGGAUCUGACCCUGAGAUUGGGAUGUGCAAAUCUUUCUACCCAAAGGAAAUGAAACCUACUGCUACUUAAUGUUAGCAGGUACUUAUUAAACAGUGGAAAGUCAUUGCCAGCAUCCUCUUCUGUCCUUUGCUGAGGUGAACUUGCAUUGGACAGGCUUUAUGCUUUUAUUGAAGGACAUGUACUGCAGAUAAUUUAAUGAGGAAAAGUGAAGUACAUGUGAAUCCCUCCUAUGCUGAUGCUGUUUUAAAAGGUUGAUUUAUGAUGCAAAUUGGAAAUAGUCAGCUUUAAAUAGUUAACUGGUAGCACAACAUCAUUAUGCAGUAUGCUGUUGCCUGCAUGUAACCAUAGAAAAAACCCACAGGUAUUGGCACAGAUGGGAGGAACAAUCAUAAACCUGUUAUCAAAAUAUCUUAAUUUUCAGAGGGGAUUUUCCAUUCGUGUGCAGGUGUGGUUACAUAUUUCCAAGUUUGGUAAAUAUAGCCAUGAGAGCUGGAAUAUUUUUAGUACCCUUUUAAAAGAGAAUAUAUUAGAGUAACUGCAGGCGUGUGCAUCUUUCUCAGGGAAUCUUCUUGAACAAGUGCUUGUUAAUCCAUGAGAUUUUACUCAGCUAUUUACUUUAUAAAAAGAUAUUUCUGAUCUACCUGAGUUUAUAUUGACUUCUUAGGGUCAUGAAUUUUCUCCUUUCCCUGUGCAGGUGUGGUACCUGUAUCACUUCCCCAAUCCCUCUUGGCUUGUGCUACAUGCAGAGCAUCAGUGCUCAGGGGUCAGUAUUAGGUGGGAUUGAAAGGAAGAGAUAACAGUGAACACUACAGGCUGCAGUUUCUAGAGUGCCUGUGAAUCGGAGACUGACCUGUGCAAGGUUUUCAUAAAUGUUUUAUUCUUUUAUUUUAAUCCUAACCAAAUAAAACUUAGACUAUUGCUCAAGAAAUAGAGAACUGAAUGAGCAAAGUCCUGCUGAGGAGGUGAUGGUUGAACUCCUGGGUAAUGAAUGAAAUGGAAAGUACUUUCUGCUUUGAGCAGUAAAGAGCUUUAUCUCCCUUUUGAAAACUCAAUAGACACAUCCAUCAGGCAGUCUGACAGGGAAAUUAAAUUGGGUUACAGCACUGCAAGAAGUCCAGAUUACGUUCCUGCUGAGUAGUAACAAAUUGUGGUGAACUUUAUAAAAAAAAAACAAAAAAAAACUUCCUGAUUUUUUUACAAAAUAAUCCAGUCUAGAUCUAGACAGUGCUAGAAGAGAUGCUGAGGAGAGUUCUGGAAAAGCUUGGUGUUCCUUAAUAAGGAAUUUUAUUCCUUAUAAUAAAAAUAAAAUUACAGAUAUGGCUUUCCUGCAGAACCGCUUGUGUUCUCUGUUCCUUUUUAAGGACACCAAAUCUGCACAAGGACUAAAUGGCUUUGUUUUUGUUUACUGCAGAAUGGAAAAAUGAAAAAUAUUAUUUUCCUGGCCUUGGGGGAGUACAUUUUCUGUCCUGAUUGUGGUAGGUCACUAAGUUCUACUAAAUGUGAUAGGAGAGGCAAAUGUUCUACUAGGGAUCUCAAUAGGACUUGAUUUUAUUUUACGCCCAGUGAACUUAAAUACAGUAAUCAAAUAAGAAGAUUUUAAUCUAAAUUACCUCUUGGAUAUAUUUCAAAUAAACUGGUGUUUUAGUAACCUUUGUUAAUCUUCUGUUUAUUUAGAAAGGUGCUCUUGCAUGCAGCUGAGAUCCAGGUGCUUUUCAGCUUGGUGAUGCUCAUUUCUAGAACCAUAGCCUAUCUCUGCUUCUCUUAUCUCUCUAUCCUGGGCUCUGAAUAUUCUGCAACUUGAGGCAACUUCUCAGGGCCAUUAGAGAUGUGCCUGAAGAUAGGAAUUCUUGAAAACAGGUCCAGAGUUGUUUUCAAGUUUGUGAACUUCAGCCAGCUGUUCCAUUAAUGUGGCUGUCAGAUUUUUAAACAAAAUCUGAAACAAGAGGGUUUCUGAUGUCAGAUUCUUUGUACUUUCUGAAAAGCUGUGUAUUCAUAUGAAAAAAUAAUAUUAACUGUUCAUAAAUCUGUGUGUAUACAGGUAUGUAGGAUAAACUAAAAUGCGCAUGUGAGAUUCUAGGUUAUUUUUUUUAAUGAAAGGAAGUUCUUCCUCUUCUUCAUGAACUCUCCCAGAACAAUUACAUUUAACUAUAUCACCUAGGCUAUUUUUGAAUAACACUUAUUCUUAGGUCCCUCCACUACUCCUCCCCCCCCCCCCCCAAAAAAAAAAAAAAAGAGAGCCUUAGACAUUCUCUUUUGUUCUUUCUCAGUAGGCAAUAGGAGUAAAAUGUUUCUUUUACUGGCUUCUGCUUUACACAUUGCACUCUUGCCUUAAGCAAUUCAAAACCUAAAUAAAUCUUAACUCACAGAAGAUGUAAGUAUGAGAAAUCUCAUUCUUCUUCUGGAACGGCUUAGGGGCUGAUUGUUUAUUUAACAAGUUGGUGCCCUGAUUUUGCCACUGACCCUCUUUGACAAAAAUCCCUCGCUCACAUACAAACUUAAGUUGCAAAAAGGGAGAAAAUCAGAAAGAAAGAUGAGUCAGUACUCAAAGCUAUGAAGAUCUGCUGAUGUAGGUAUUUUCAGUGAUUUUUAAAUAUAGUUAAAAAUUACAGUGCCGAUGAUCUCUGAAUCCAGUAACGUUCUGAUGUAACCAAACCAAAUGAAAUCUUUCUACUCGUUGUUGAUCGUCUGAGUUACUAUGUGCAACUAGUUUGGGGAAGAGGAAAUGAAUCUGAAGAAAGAUCUGGAAGACUGCUUUAAAAAUCAUAACAUACUACUGUGAGAUUUGAAUAGUGUGCACAGGAUUUUUGCUGCCUCACAAAAAGUGAAAGUGUUUUAUCGUUGGAUGUCCAAAACCAGGGUUGUUGAGUAGUUAUAUUUGGGAGUAGUCUUUUUUUCCAUUCACUGUAGUGGCUAGGAGCAGACACUUUGUGUCCCUGUCAAUAGCAUUUCACACGGAGUAUGAAGUGCCGAAACCAACUGGAAGAGACAGUGCUGAAGCUGAUAUUUUGUUUGUGGAUUACUUAUGUAGGAGAAAGUACUAUAUAUAAACAUGAAUCCAAAAUGCUUUUCAUUACUGUAUGAUUCCCUUUCCACUAUACAGUGUUUUCAGUACAUAAAAUUUUGUUUUACUCAGGCAACUUUCUUAAACUUUAAAACAUUGACUAACCAUCAAGGAAGAGAUGAUCUUUCUGAUGUUCAGUCCUUCCGUGCUUCUCGUUUUCAAUUCUUUUUCAUAUGAGAAAGCAAGAAAGGUGUAUGGAACAGACUAAGGAGAAGGAAGAAGAUGGGAAAAGCACUUCUUAUAUUUUAUAUGUAUAAUUUUAUAUAUUUUAUAUCCUAUUUCCAAAUAGGAAAGUGAAAAUUUUCCCAAAAUAAAAGAAAGGGCAGAAAGGAAAGUGAAGAGACUUUAUUUCAUGUCAUGGAUGUUCUUGCAUCUGUCAUAUGUGUUCCUCUUUUUUUAUUUUUUAUUUUUACAAGAUCAAGCUAUCACAUUUCCCUAGAUGAGAUUUCCUAUGCUUGUCACAAUUCAAGUCUCAGCAAGCUCUUGUACAAUUGUUUUGAGUUCAUUUCUGACAGUGUGAACUUUGGUUUUUACCUUAUAUACUGUAUUAAGACACCAUUCGAGUAAGGAAAAUUUUCAGUGUCUUUGCAUUACUUGGGAUGUUUUUUUUUGGUCUUCAGGACCAAUAUUUAGGUAUGAUUUCACCUUGUAAUCAGACAAAUAUAAACAAUUUGAACUGUAACAAGAUUAGUCUACACUGUUCUCAAGGAGGAAUUUGAGCACAUGAUUCUGAUAUGUUCAGAUAGCUUAUACUGCUAAAUGAUACGCAUUAAAGAGGGUGGACAUUGUAAUUAAAUUCUACUUCAUAGCAUCUUGAUGACUGCUUAAAUUUAACGGUAUGAAAUUGAACCAGAUUAGAACAUGACACUUCCUUGAUUGCACAAAGGGAAUCUUGGAUGGAGUAGAUAUGUGGUUUCUCAAAUUAUAUGAAGUUGGUGAAUUCAAACCCCCUUAGAAUUUUUUCCGUAUUAUUUUGAUUUGAGCACUGUGUAAACUCGGAGUUAAGAAGUGGAAAGUUUUAUUUUACUUUAGUUUGAAUUUAAUCUGAAAUGAUUUACUCGACACUUAAUAUUUAUUUCUUAACUCACUUGAAAUGCACAUUUAAAAAUAUAAUUUAAAAGUGAAGAUAGCUUUAAAAUAGCAUACUGUGUCUCCUAAGCUGGAGUAAAACCCAGCAUCUCAAGCUAUCUUGAAUUAAAAAUCUUACUCUUCUUUCAUUACUCUCCUCUCCCCCUUAAGAAAAUGGACUUGAAGCAGUUUAAGAAAUUUUGUAGAAAUAAUUUAUUUUAAAGUAGCUUCAAUGAGAAAAUAUUAUUACUUGUUUCAUUUCUGAUAUUAAGAUCUUUCCUCAGUCUUUUUGUCGGGAAAGUUUUGACUCUGGUGUUCUAAUUUGUUGAGGGGAUUGAAAGGGAUAGGAGACCAGGGUAAAUGUAUGUAUUUUGAUGAAAUCUUCCCAGCCAGUUCUGCUCUGUAGUCUUUUCUAGGCUUGAUUUGAACUAAGGGAUUCCCUCCCAUAUCUACAUCUGCAAUUUCAUUGUUUGACCUAUUAACUAAUGCAUACAGCACAUCUUUUAUUUCCAAUACUUGGUAGCAAACAAGAGUACCUGCAAAAAGAGAAUUGAAUGCUAAUAAAAACUUAUCAACGCUACAUUUCACAUUGUAUAGUCACUGAAUUUGGUAUUUUCUGAGUUGGUUACACUAGAUUACUUUAUAGUACUUUGUGAUUGAGCAGGGAGCAUGACUUUUUUUGAAUAAUUUCAUUUCCACGGCAGGGUGACUUAAAUUAGUGUCUGACAUCCUUCUAAUACGCUUAGAAAUCUUUGGAACAAUAGAUCUGAAAUUUGAGCACUUUCAUUCUGGUAGAAUAAGAGCACAGGGGUGAAGUUGGAUGGGCUGGAUACGCAAGCAUUGUUCUCUUGAAAACUUAUCGAAGGUAGAUCUUAUCAUGUGUGUGAACACUGCAUAUGAAUACCAGUGGAUCACAUGGAGAAGUUAUGGCCCAGCAGAAACUGUUGCACCUCACAGGGACAGAAUGAGUCCAGGACUUCACCCAGUGAAGUAAUGGAAUGCAUAUACUUAAAUAUUAGACACUAACAGUGGAAGGAUCCAACUUCUGACCUGACUCUCUAUGUUGUAAGAUUUCUUUUAAAUAGUUAUUAGACCUAUUCAACAGCUUUCUUUCAAAAACUUGCAACCUGAUGCUUUACAAUGCAGAGUUUUAGAACUCUAUAAAAAUAUUAAAAAAAUGUGUUAGUCUGUGGGUUUUUCUGUUUGGUUGGUUGUUUAUUUUUUUUUUUUACCUCGGAGAUAUCAUUAGAUGUCAUUUAGGAAGAGAUCAUAGCCACAAAGAAGCAAACUAUUUCUUAGACAUACAGAAAAUACAACUGCAUAUGAAAUGCUUAAAGAAUGAUGUACUAUUAAGCUGAAAUACUUUCUAGCAGCCAUGUGCAUUCCUUUGCAGAUGUAAUGUUUCAGUUGUACACUCCACUCUUCAGGUUAAAAAUUCUUCUGCACUUACCAUGGUGUUAUCAAUAUAACAGCAGUAAGCAGUAAGCAUACAAUUUUUUCCCCUUAAUUUCCUUGACUUGUACAUCUCUUCCCAUGACAGAUGGGACUGGAACUAAUGUGUAUUGAAGGGGAAGUUGUGUGGUACAGGUUUGUGUGGUGACUGAGCAUGUUCUUUAGUACUCCCUACAGUGUAUUUUCAGGUUGCUCAGUCAUCUGAACAGAAGUUUGGAGUUCAGCUGGCAUUUAGCACAGAUGAUGUCAUCAGACCCAGAGGGUAUACUCGCACAGCAGAACUCAAAUGCUGUUGUUAACCAAAUAUUGAUGUAAAGUUAGUACAUUAUACAUUAAGCUUAUGCAGUGUUGCUGGUGGUGUUGCUACAAUGUCUUACAUAAUGAACUAUACUGAAUUGUUCUUUAAAUAAGGUGGUGAGUUUUCUAAGGAUCUACAAGUAAAUAGUAUAUGAAGGCAGUUUUUUGACAUUCUUCUCUGAGAUUCUCAACUGGUAGUUCUCUGUUUUUUCAAUAAUCUAAAGAGCAUUUCUUCAUGUCUAGAUUGGAAUUUGGGGAGAAUUUGAGAAAAUAGAGACAAACAGUUGGAAAAAAAAGACUAAUAAGAGACACAGGAAAGUAUAGUGGCAGAGGAUUGUGUGAUGAAGUACAAUGGCUAUUCUGAAGGUUUUGUUAAAAUUUAAAAUAAAUCUAAGCCUAAUCUGGAACAACAUGCCUAGAGAAAAAUGCUGUUUGCAUGCAACUUUAAAUGCUGACAGUGUAGGGAGGAGUGUGUGAUAAUUGCUAUUCUAAAAUAAUAAGCCAUUGUAAUAGCAAUCUAACUGUCAUGUAGUAAACACACCCCCAAGCAUUAAACCAGAACAUCCAAAGACGAUUUUAUGCAAGCAACACCUUCAUAUCCCUCCAAGCACUUUUCAUCAGCCACUCUAUUUAUGGCUUUGUUCAUUUUUUCAUAUGCUCACAAUUCAAUAAUAAUCAGAGGUAAGGUCGAUCUACCAAAACUUAGUUACUAGAAAGGAUCAAAUACAAUAGUUUGAUCCUGACUGGAAUUUCAGAGAAUGGAAAAUCUGCAGUGUAUGGAUUUGUACUGGAGUUAUCUUAGUACACAAAUGAUACCUUGAUAGUACACAAACGUCACCUUAAGGACCACAGAUAAACAAUCUUAAAACUGGAUGGCAGCAACAGCUACAAAACUGCUUCUUGUGAGAUUGAGCUUGUGGGACAUUGGCAAGUUUUGUGUAUGGGUGUUACCAUUGAUGACUCAAGAGCAUGUGAGCACUUGUUUUCUAGGUGUGGGUGUCUGUUUCUCUUCAUCUGCAUAUGGUGGCUUGUUGUGUCUUUUAUUUUGCUGCUUCUCAAAGAAAAAGAAGCUAGUUCAUCGGGAGUUGUUUUCUUUCUUUCAAGCUUGUAAGUUGUCACAAAAUUCCUGUUCUUACAUUCCCAGUUUCUGUACUGAGCAAGGUCUUUUUGGCCAGUUCCAGUAAAGAAUGUAGAUGCUAUCCUGCUAGCUCAGGCAUGUAAAUCCAUCACAUCGACCCUUAAAGUCCUGCUCAGUUUUCAGCUAUGUUCUGCAGGCAUUACAUUUCAUAGCAUUUGCAUUUUCAAAAUUGAAGUCAGUUACAUGCUUGAAUGAUCUGCAUUUCAAGGCAUAUUUUUUUUUGCCUCUUUCAGUGCCAGAGCCUGACUUGUCAGGUGUAUUCACUCUGCACCAUAUGGAUAGGUACCAGGUAGGCUCAUGGUCACCUCUUGUUCAUUCUGCUGGGGUGAUGUGUUUUCAUGCUACAGGACGCUGGUACUCAGAAAAGAUAGAGCAUCCUAGCUGGCCUAUAAAUAAAUACUAUUUAAAUACUAUUUUGAUAUUUCCACUAUUAAAAAAAAAAAAAAGAAAACCCUCUUGAUGUCUACUAUUUGACGUCUCAUGAAAAGGUGCUGAAUCAUGCAGAUAUUUUUUACUCUGUGAUGGAUCAGAACUGGAAUGCUGACAACUCUGAAGCAUUUCUAAAAGGUUGGUAAUAGUUCAAAUCUCAUCAGCUUCUGAGAUUUUGUCUUUCUUUGGGAAGUUGGAAUUUAAUGCCUCUAGAUGUGAUGUCAGGCUUGAAUCUUUAAGAAGACUUGGAUGAAAAUUCCUUCCUUCUUCUGACCCAAUCUCUUUUCACCCAUUGUGAUAUUACAGAAAUUGAAUUUCAGACCUCAUGAGGUAAAGUUUCUGCUAUGGUCAGCAGAAGUGUCUUUCUAUCUGAUUACCCUUGAGGUCAGAAGCACGUAAUACAUUCAGGGGUGUUUCUAAUUGAACGAAGCUUGGAAUAUGUGAGGGUUGUAGACAGCAGCUGGCCCCAGCAGAGACUUAACAGAUUUGCUGAGAACCUGCAAAGAUCUUGGCAGCAUGUCAACAAAGAUACUGCAGGGUUGCUGGAUGCCAGGAAAAUGAGAUCUUUGCUUUGCAGCAAAGGAAAUGGUAUUUAGGGAAGAUGGGAUUUAAUAAAUUACAAUAGUAGCAUUGUGAACAAAGCUGUAUCUGAAUGUUUCAAAGGCUAGGACUAGUAGGCAAGUUGUGUACUCUGUUUCAUGGGUGAGUAAACUGAAGUAGAAGUAGGUAAAGGAAAGAUAGGCUUUCUUAUAGCAGACUAUUAUCAGAGCCAGGAAGAGAAGUAAUCUGUUCCUAUGUAAGAAAGAAAUAUACUUAAAAGAAGUGAAGAAUGGAGGGAACAGAAACAGUGAUGGAAAAAUGGUUUAGCUGAUUUAAAAGGAUAGGAAAGAGAAGAAUGGAGGCUGAGUGGUUAAAGUAGAACUGCUUGUGGGGAAAGAUCACAGUGGAUUUUGGAGGGAUGUUACUGUCUUCCUGAAAGAACAAGAAAUUGAGUCUAUAGCAUUAAGAGUUUCCUGCUUGCAGUGUCCAAAUAUACAUUCAGAUUUACUCUGAUCAUAUAUUUGCUAAUGAAUUGUUCUGGUAGAGUAUAUAGGCAUUUCUUUGAUAGUUUCAGGUGCUGGAAAAAUUAGCUGUCUGUUUCUAUGGAGUAUAGUGAUGCGUGCCUCACCGUACUGGACCCUGAGAGAAGAUAUCAGAUCAGUCUGCAAGCAACUACUUGAUCUGUUUUGCUGAUGUCCUCUUUGUCUCUUACUGGAGGUUUAGUGAUAAGGUGAUCUCCAGAGAGUUCAGUCAGAAUUAUAAUGUUACAGAGGCAAAGCUGUUGUGGUUGAAGAGCUAUUUUCAUGAUGAGAGAAAACUGAUUCUCAUCUAAUCUGCAGAUUAACCAUGACACAAAGAUUAGCAACCCAAAUGGAGUAUGCCUGCAUGGAAUAUUCCUACUCCACAUGUUACAGGGUCAGGUCUUCAAGGAUGAUAAAAUUUGAUGUUGCAGGCAUCAGUAAACACUCAGUGUUCCACCAAUUUGAUAUAAAGUAUUUCAGAUUUCCUCUCUGCUUACUUGGUAGGCCAUUUUCAAUUGUUAAUCGCUAUUCUUAGGACUCGAUUCCCCUGUAUCCUCUUAACGCCUUGAUCAUUUUGAAACCUGUGGAUUUAUUGACAGUUCUUUAUUAACCAGGUAGCUUUGUUUUUUCAGCACAAUGCUAGAGAGGAGGGAAGCAGAUGCUCCUCUUCAGUUGGGAAUAAUUAAAAAUGCCAGUUAACAAAAUCCUUCUGACUUCUGCAGAUCUGAAAGUAGCCAUUAGCAGCUCUUGAAAUCUCUCGGUUUGUUGCAUCCCUGUGUUCCUUGUGUUCCAAAAGAAAUAACGUGGCAGGCAGGAUACCAUUGAAAGUGUAAUGCAAUGGGUACCAGUGAAAAUGCCAGAUGGAGGGGGAAUAAAUCCCAAAGACAGACUAAUAGUAAAAUAUAUGGAUGACAAGCAGCCUCUUGCUGAUAUGUAGGUCUAUUUCAAGGUAGGACACAGUGUGGUCUAAUUGUAGAGCUAUUGAAUGGGUCAAAUCCCAGCCUCCUUCCAUGUUAACUCAGCCUGAUCAGGAAAUAAUGGCUUUAACCAGCAAUCUUUCUGAUCCUGUGACAGCUAUAAAAACUUACAAAGAAAUUUUCUGUUACUUUCUUUCUCCAUUCCUCCUUCAGUUCCACUCCCCCAAAUAACACUUAGUUGUAGAUUAUUGCCUUUAGCACAAUAAUUAAACUUCUUUAACAGAGCACAGAGCCUGGGAGAAGGUACAGUUGGGUGUGGUACAACGUGCAAGAGCUAAAUAGAUCCACAGAGAUGUUUGCUUGCUUGUAGACUGCCAGCAGAAGCUUAUACAGAAGAGAGAAAGCUGUGGAAGUCUCUUGAAUCCUUGGGCAUAAACUUUUAUUUCUCAAAAUACCAUUAAAGUAGGGAGCUGGUGGAAGCAAGCUGGUCAAUGCGACUUCAAAGGCACGGGGAAUUUUGACAGCAGCUGCUGUUUGUCAGAGAUCUAUAGACUAACUUCCUGCUGUAAGAGGCCUUCAGCUAGUUCAGCUGGAGAGUUACUGGGGGAAAUCCUCACCCUCUUGUCUUUUCAGCAGAGCACACAUAACCAGGACCAUGCCCAGAGCUGAGAAGGGGUACUGGUAGAUUCUCAAUCAGUAAAAUUAUGUGGGUGGAGACAUCAGUGUGGUGCUGUGGGUGAGGGAGAGAUGUUCUCUUCUGAGUAGUGUAUGCACAUGUCCAUCAAGGUCUUUGUUUACAGAAACUCCCAGAUGAGAGCACACUUCUUUCAUCACAUCUCAGCUAACAUCAAAUAAAAAUCCUUGCUUUCUCCUCUGCCUUUCUUUCUCUUUCAGUUAACAAUGCACUAUCACUUUUGUUCAGGGCAGAUGCAUGUUUUCUUUCCAGUGUUCAAUUCCCCUCACAAUAAUCUUUAUCUACCAGUUUUGGAACUACCCUUCUCCAGGAGGAUUUAAUUUCUUUCAAAAAUUGCAUUUCCACUAAAUCAAUAACCUAGCGGGAAUCUUUGGCAAAGGACUGAGCUUUGGUGCAGUAGGUGUCUCUAGAUUUAGUGGCCUGUAUCAUCAUCUUUGUUGGAACUCAUUCUUUUGCUAAAGUUUAACUCCUCAGCUGCGGAAUCCAAACCUCUUGCAUUUAUUUCUGUCCCUGCUGAAGCAAGCUGUCCUAUGCUAAGAGAGCUAUAUAGUAAUCUCAAGAACAUACAAGCAUUUUCUCUGUCUCCUGUACUGAUGAAAUUCUUUCCUCAUUAAGCAUACUACAUAUCACAAUCCUUCAUGCAAAACUCAGCACCAGGUUUGAACUCCUUUAGGUUAAAAAUGAAUCUGAAUAUGCUGCUUCAUACCAAGAAAAGUCAUUCUUUUGCAUAUCUGUGGUUUUCAAAUGCAGUCGUGAAUCCUGAAAUGAGGAGGAUAAAAACCACAAUGAGAUAUUUUGAAAGUUUAGUCUGGCAUCUGUCCAUACUUGACUCUUUUUCUGAACGGAGUAGGGUAUGUUUGUAGUGAAAUGGGAAAUCCAAAAGAAAGCUGUAUGUUCAAAAUUCUGGCAAUGCAUUCAGCCUCUCGGAAGUUCGUAAAGUAAAAGAAAUGUCAAAUGUCAACUUGCUCUAGAAAAACAAAAUGUAAUUCCUGUUUUCUCAAAAGCAUUUUUGGUUUCCAUUUUUUAAAGCAUCAGAGAUUCUGAAAACUACAUUUAGGUGAAAUUUAGAUAUCUGCUCAAUAAAACUUUUUAACCUUGCUGACUUUUGGGAUUGGGAGGUUGAGGAAUUAAAGAUGGUGGGGGGAAACCCAAACCAAAAAAAAAAAUUGAUUACCAAGUUGUAGUAAUUUUUACACCACGCUUAUCAGAGUUGGAGUCAGAUUUGAGUGCUCUCAGCUUUUGUUGCUUAUUGGAAAGUUUUCUAGAGCUGGGAGUUCCUCACAGCCUUGGUAACUGCUUCCCAACUGCUUGAGCUCAAAUCCCAGUUUCAUAUGCCCAUAGUCACAGACCUUACAUAUGUAUCUUACAGGUUUUUGUGCAUCUCUCACAAUGUUACACCAUGUAUGUCUGUGUGGGCAAUGAGUGCUAUAGCAAAGAUACCAGGUUCUACCUUGUAAAGACAGUGCAUAUACUCAUACAUGGGGCUUGUACUUCUGCCUUUUCUUCUUGAGGUUGUGGGUUCAAAGACAAUUUGCAUCACUUGUCAGCACAUCAUCUUGGUCAGUGUUGUCAAAUAAUGAUAUUAAUGAAGAGGAAACGUGUUUCCAAUUCCUUUUAAAUUUAUUUUGUAUCGGGAGAAAAGAAGAUGGACCUUAAUUUUAAAACUCCUGCAACAAGCCCUGGCACUUUGGUCUGAGGAAACUGCACAGUUUAUCUGUGUGCACUUUGGGAAGUAUUAUCAGGAAAGGGCUCUGAACCCAAUCAGGGACACAGCCUAAGGUUUGCAAAUGAGCUCUCUUGGGGAGUCUGCUGUACCCUUCUUUAGAAUUACUGGAUACAUGGGUUGGAAUGGCUCAUGCACGUGUCAAUUACAGAGUGUGCUCAUACAAAGUGUAUGGAUAUUGUUUGGAAAGCACUGUUAAAGUUUUGGCUUAUAUAGGCACAUUCUGUGGCCUGACAGGAUUACUCCCGUUGGAGUAAUAACUAAGAGUUUUGCUUACUUAGGGCCUGUUCCUACUCCCUUUGAAGCUAAUGGCAUAAUUCCCAGUAAUGUUUAGCAGUGCAGCUUUAAAGCUGAUAGAAUUUGAUGUUAGAGGCCUUAGUCAGUGCUCACUGAAGUACACAGGGGUUUCCCCAGUUAUUUCAGUAAGCUUUGGAUAGAACUGCAAAUUCAUGAAAAUAAUUACCAUCUCUAUAGAAGUUGUUAUGAGUUCUAUACUUAACAAAGAAGAAAGUCAAGAGAAUUUCUUUACACUGGCUGAUACCACGUGCUUUUUUGUAACACUGAAAUAUUUACUUCAAGUAAGUUCCCAGAAGUUUGGAACAACCGCAUCCAAAAGCAAUAGACUUGUUAAAUUGAAAAGGACAUUUUAUGUUGUGCCACAUCUCUUGUGACUGCUGAAUACGCUGAGCUUCUACUGAUGGAGGAACUGCAAAUCUCAUGGUAUCUCAGCCUUCAGGCUCCUAAUCCCAGCUAGUCAGGCCUCACAGCAUCUGCAGGGAAAUGGCAAUGAUGAAAAGAGAUGUUUCAGCUGCUUGAAGAAAAAAUAGCUGGCAAUUUCUCAUCUCAAAGUCUGGUACCCCUCAGAACCAUCACAAGGUAUGAAAAAUAUUCCCUCUAGUUUCAGUAUGCUCUUUGACACACAGGAGUUCCCUUUAGUUCUGAAAUUGCCUUCACCUACAUUUCUCAUAUGCUACUGGGAGUUUGCCAAAGCACAGUUAUUUUUGUACUUGGACUUUGGUACGUCAGACUUGCUAAACUAGAUCUUUAAAGAGAUACAGAAAAAAUACAGCAAACCGGGGAGAAGCACAGAAAGAUAAUAGAGGAAGUUUGUUAGCAUCCACUUGUUUGGUUCAACAGGUCUUUUGGUCUAAAGGGCAGACAAGAGAGCCUAUCUCAUGGUUUUAAAGGGAGAAUGGAGAAGGAAAAGGGAAUUUGUUGUUGCGUGGGUGUGAGUAUUUCAUUUGUAUACUGCUGAUCUACUGGGUUGCUUUAAAUGAAGGACAAAAAUUUCUCACUUUUUUUCCUUCUAUUUGGAUCUCCUUAUAUUCAGUUACAAUAUAUGAGGGCUACUCCAUAAGUAAUACCUCCAAUUUUAUUAUGUUGGCCCACAACGUCAGAGGCAAAUGUUGCCGGUAUGGCAGUAGAGAUUGAACUUUCCUGUCAGCAUCCUGUUACAUUUUGUUAUCACGUGACAGAUGGCAGCAGAGGUGCGGUCUGACAUAAUGGUGUCUGACAUGGAAGUGCAUGUGAAGCAAAGGUGUGGAAUUGAAUUCCUCCAUGCGGAGAAAGAUGGUACCGAUUGACAUUCACCAAUACUUGCUGAACAUUUAUGAAGAUAAGUAGAUGUGAGCACACUGAGGCAAUGGGUGGUGCAUUUCAGCAGUGGUGACAGUGACAGUGGGUCACCUGCACUCGUGCAGUUUUUUAGGAGCAUGACAUGCAGACUCUUGUCCAUCACUGGCAAAGAUGCAUAGCUAACAGUGGUGACUAUGUUGAAAAUAGUGUUUUGUAGCUGAGAAUAUGCUCUAUCAAAUACUGUUUUAUUGUGUUCUUUGUAUCUGUUUUAGUGUCUGUGGAAAUAAAGAGGAAGUAUCACUUUUGGAGUGAUCAAAAGUAAACAUAAAAGCAAUCUUAAUAAUGUCACUGGUUGGAUUUCUGCAGUACUGGACUGGAUGUUGUUUGGGCUUUGUAAUGCGUGAAUCAUUCUACUGGUGUAAUUUAAGCUUCUUUAGGCCUAUACGUUUAUUAGCACUAUCUUAUCUGCUAGUCCUCCUAAAAGAGAAGGACCCAUUGAACCAGAUGUCUUUCCUUGUGCAGAAGCAGCAUUAAUGCUUCAAGCUUUCCUAUGCCUUAAAUACUUGUUCUAGAGUUCCAGCUUUGGGUGUAUGCCCACCUAGCAUAGGGUAGUACUGGAUUCCAGUUUAGUUCAUGUGAAAAAUACUGAGCUGUGUAGGUUAAAUAGCAUAAUAAGUGUUUUCCCAUCUUUUUCAUCGUUGCUUUAGUAGUUCUCUAGUACUAGGGCUGUUAGUUUUCUAGGGGUCUAGCAUAUUACAGAAAAUACAGCAAUGUGAAACUUGUAUGUUUUUUGGUGUUUUCACUGAUUCUAGCUGAAUGUUACACUAUAGACAUGCCCAUGGCAUUUAUGAUACUUUCUGGUUUAAUCCAUGUGUCUUCUCUCAUGGAAUGGUAGAUUUUGCAGCCAUUUACAUAAUCAUUGGAGAAGGUAAUCAUAAACUUUAACAGUUAACCGUGCACCGCUUCAACAACACCCACUUGAGCUAGAAUGUCUUCUACAUUAAGCUUUUUGUAUUCUAGCUCAGUAGCUUUUGGGUUAUGGUGAACCACUCGGUGUUCCCAGAGUCACUUGGAGAUUGCUAGGUAAUCUGAAUGGCUGUUGGAUGAUUUGAGCCAUCUAGGACUGUUGAGAUCAAUAUCAAUGUGUUACUGAGAGACUGAAUCAUGCAUCCUACAGUGGGAUUAUGGAUACUCGUGGAAAUCUGUAAACUACUCCUGGAACUUCUCAUCCUUUUAUUUCUGAAGCAGUGUUAUCUGUGUGUGGCUUUCAGCCAUGAGGUUCACAGUCAGAAAGAUUGUCUGAUUUUCCAUCACAAAAAUUACUUUUUUUUUCAUGUGUGUGUUUGAUCAUAUGUAUUAAAGUGUGUUAAUAACGUAUGUAUGUACAUCUGUAAUUUGUGUUGGCAUUUAAGUCUGUAGCAGAAUCCCAAACGUGGAAUGGAAUAGAAUGAAUUAAUGUAAGAGUGACUACAAAAUAAUGUGGGAUGUAUAUUUAUAAAAGGAAGUUCUUUGUCCAGAUGUCCCACUGCACUCCUUAGGGAGUGUUUGUGAUUGCUCUCUGAAAUGUAUAUCACUUCAGAUGAAAUAUAUGAUACAGACCUCCUUGGGGCCAGGAAAAUUAGCAAAAGCACUUAAACUGUACAGCAGCAUCACUUAACCACUCUAGUUGAAUUAUAUUAUAAAUAAGCUAUUGCAGAAGCCUCUGGGGAUCUGCUAGUUAAACACUUCAAUGUGAAAGAGAUCUGUUUUUCCUGUUUUUGUUUUUAAAUGUUUUUAAAAUGACUUUCCCAUUUGGACCUAAGAAGAGAGGAAGCAAAACAGACUUAGGACACAGAAUUAGUUAGUUAAUCUGCUCUAGUAAAAUGAUGAUAUCUUUGUCUACAUUAGUGAUGAAUGUUGAAUAGCAGAAUAAUACUGAAAACUGAUGGGAGUACUUUUUAACCUCCUUAUACUGAAAAAAUGUGCCUGAGGAAAGUAAACUUUAAUAUAGUAGAACCUAAUACUAUCACUUUUCAUGGGGAUGGAUAGCUAUAAGGGGAAAGAAAUGGCAAAUGAAGCCCAACUGAAGCUAUAAGGUAUCUAUUACUUUUAAGGUGACAAGGCCAGCAUAACACAAUCAGACCUAAGGGGUAAAUUAUUUUAAAUGUUUUAACUGAAGAUUUCAACACUGAGUCUCUGUCAUUGGCCAGAUGUGUGAACAGGAACAAAUCAGAGCAAAAUUGUAUAUACAAGUGUGAACAAGGGCUAGUUAAAGAUGCUGUCUGCAGAAGCUGACUGCAAGCUGUUAACUCAGGGUAGUUUGCAGAAAACAGUUUAUUGAUUUCAAAGGAAGUAGUGGUCUUUUGCAACUGUGUCAUUUUCAGGUUUGGUUAUUUUUUUAACAGUUUGGAGAUAUGUGUUUUCAUUAAGAAUAGUUUAUAAUAGAACACUGUAAGAUCACUUGGUAUGCACAUUCACUCUGCAUAAUUGCAAAAGGUGGAAAAAGUUAUCAAGGCACAUAGAGCACAGAUGUGCAAGUCCUAGGGAGAGGAAAAAAAUGGGUUUUACUUUAACUUAAACUCUCAUUUAUUCUCUAUGUGUCAGUGCUCAAUUUGCAGAUUGUUGCCGCUGAGGUCAGGUUUUAGGACAGAGCAGGACUACUUUGGAAAACUUGAAGUUUUCUUGGUGCCAAUGUUUUCAUACAACAGGGUGAAAAAGUAGGAAUAGUGAAUGACUUAAGUACUUAUCCCAUGACAGGUACCAGUUGUUUUGCAUGAUUUUUUCAGUUUACUACAACAUGAGCAUUACACCAACCAGAACCUGCAACAAAGUUUUUUGGAGACAAAGCCUCCUGGCUUUGCUGUAUGGAAAGGUGUUAGAUGCAGAUUAAAUGAGGCAUGUAGUCUGUGUGCUGUUUUUUUUGCUUUAUUUUCUGCAAAUCUUUUCUAAAUAAUGUAAGGAAAUGAAGUACUCAACAGGUAAUGUCUUGUUUUAAGAAGUUGCUUAUGGAGUACCACCACAGUAGCUUUCCAAGAUAGAAGGACUCUAAAGACUAGAUACUGAAUAUCAGACUGCUUUAGUGUAAAGAAUGAUGGAAAAGAUCACUAACCUCUGGGACUAAUCUGAGAAUGUGAAAUUCUUCAAAGCACCCUAUGGUAAGUAUUGACCAGAAACAUAAAUGAGCAGAAGUACACUUGAAAAGACAAGAUGGUGUUAGAAGGGCAUUUAGCCUGGUAGCUUUAACACUUAGCACAUCUCAAGUAAAUGUAGAGAUCAGAAUUCACUCAAGCUAGACGUUACUGUGGAAAUGUAAUAAAUGCUGGUUUCUUAGAGAUGCUGAAGAAAAGGGACAAUGAAGAGAGUUCACACCUAAGAAUAUAAUACUUUAGACAGUGAAGAACACCGCUUAGAAAAGUUGUAUCCUAACUCUCUGAAAUAUGCAGUAGUUAAAAAUCCACAUGCAUUUUUGUAUCUUUCUCUUCUGUAAGAAGCAGAAGCCUUUCAAUAAAUUACAGUGAUGUACUUGACUCCCCAGACCCAAUUUACUGAUAUGAGCACUGGAACAGGCUGUCUAGAGAGGUGGUGGACUCUCCUUCCUUGGAGAUAUUCAAGACCCAGCUGGAUGCCUACCUGUGCAACCGACUGCAGAACAUCUGCUGUAGCAGGG
Molecule: long non-coding RNA, 20761 nt
Filed under: Gallus gallus (chicken)
Lineage: Eukaryota; Metazoa; Chordata; Aves; Galliformes; Phasianidae
Source: RNAcentral